This 69-nucleotide transfer RNA is filed under the name Ictidomys tridecemlineatus (thirteen-lined ground squirrel). RNAcentral's name for it is "Spermophilus tridecemlineatus (thirteen-lined ground squirrel) tRNA". It matches the Rfam family "tRNA". Rfam says of the family: Transfer RNA (tRNA) molecules are approximately 80 nucleotides in length. Their secondary structure includes four short double-helical elements and three loops (D, anti-codon, and T loops). Lineage: Eukaryota; Metazoa; Chordata; Mammalia; Rodentia; Sciuridae. The record is from Rfam by way of RNAcentral.
GGGGUUGUGGCUCAGUAGCAGAGCACUUGCCUGGCAAGUGUGAGGCACUGGGUUCGAUUCUCAGCACCA